UGCUCAAAUGUGACCCGUUAUAGCCAACAGAAAAAAAGCGGAGGCCCGAAAAACAGGUGGGGGUCCUCCACCACCACCACUCACAGAGGCUGAGCAGUUGGCCCUCAGCCAAAACAGUGGGCGCCCUGUGGCUGAAGGCAUCUCUGCGGGGACAUCCUCUGAGUCAAUAACCCCGCAAGACACAAGUGCCUACAUAAGAGUUGAUGGUGAUGGUGUACUGCAUCUGGUGCAGCCUCCUGUUGAGCCAGACCAACAUGCAGUUGUGAGUACUCUUAAUACUCCACAGAUUAUAUGAGUUUACAGUAGAACAGCAAUGUUGUUAAUGUCUUUACUACAGGAAAAUUAUGAAGAAACAUUGACAGCUGUUACAGAGGAGGAAGCAACAGAGACACUUUAUGAGAGUGAUGAUGGAAAUGCAGAGGAAGAGGGUCCAGCCACUUCUCCAACAAACCUUUCCUCACUCCCUGUAAAGCAGCUGUACAAGACCUAUUUGAUCAAGAAAAUAAAAAAAUGCGACUUGGAAAUGGAACACUUCAAGCAGCAGAUCCAAAAGACCAAGAUUGAGAUUUUACUGCUGGAACAUCAGUUAAGGGUGGGUGAAGUGGUCAGAGAUGGACGAAUUAUUUCAGUGUUUGAACAACAUAAUAAUAUACUUAUUAAUACUUUGUGUACAGGAAAUACAGGCGACCAAUAA
Long non-coding RNA from Pelmatolapia mariae (spotted tilapia), 694 nucleotides. RefSeq lists it as uncharacterized. Lineage: Eukaryota; Metazoa; Chordata; Actinopteri; Cichliformes; Cichlidae. The record is from RefSeq and is a predicted model, not a curated record. The transcript has 4 exons.